CUUGCAUUUCAUAAUUGUAUCCGAUACACACAGAGAUGGCCUCUUAUUGGAGUAAAAGGAGGCGAGUCUUGUCCAACGCAAGGGAGACAGAGAACGAGAUUUUGCAGCAAUUACAUUUAAGUACAGUUAAUCAGGCUGAAAAUGCCCCCCCUAGCUUACCAGAUCUAGCACUGUGUGGGACAACUUCAGAAUUCGAGAACAGUCCUGACCAAAACACUACAGACAGUGAUGCCAGUGAAAGAGAGGAUUUUAGUGGGUUAUCCAGCUCUGAUGAAAGUGAGCCUGAUGAAAUGAGUUUACAAGCUAAACUAAAGCAAUGGGCAUCAACUUUUGGCAUUACUCUUGUUGCAGUUACCGCUCUUCUAUCAAUAUUGAGAGUACACCACUCUGAGCUGCCUAAAGAUGCCAGGACACUUCUUGGCACACAAAAGAAAAUAGCUGUGCAUGCAUUAGGUGGUGGUGAAUAUCACCAUUUUGGAUUGGCUAAGGGAAUUUUAUCAAAAUUGAAUUCAAUCCAUUUGCCUAGCUGCCUUCAGACAAUUCGGUUACAAUUCAACAUCGACGGUUUACCCAUUUUUAAGAGUUCCAAAGUUCAGUUUUGGCCAAUUCUUGCGAUGCUUGAUUGUGAUUACACAAAAAAACCUUUUAUUAUUGGUUUGUUUUGUGGAACUGGAAAACCAUCUAGUGUGUAUGACUACCUCAAAGAAUUUGUCAAUGACCUUACCCAGCUACUGAGGAAUGGAUUGACCUUCAGAGGUAAACCUCUAAAGGUGAUGGUGUGCUCGUUCAUUUGUGAUGCUCCAGCACGUGCUUUUGUGAAACAGAUGAAGUCCCACAAUGGGUACUCUGGGUGUGACAAGUGCAAUCAAGUUGGCGUGUGGCAAAAUAAAAUGACAUAUCCUGAAAUAAAUGCCAGGCUUAGAUCAGACGAAGACUUUGCUUUAAUGUCAGACACAGAUCACCACCUGCGACCUAGUCCCCUUACUGGCAUUGUUCAGAUGGUAACCCAGUUUCCCAUUGAUUACAUGCACCUCUGCUGUUUGGGUGUAACAAAAAAACUCAUUAUUUUCUGGAUGAAGGGCAAAAACCUGGCCAUAAGACAGCCAUCUAAUGUCAUCUCAGCUAUAUCAUCUAAACUGAUUGCUCUCCGUCCCCAUAUUCCAUCUGAAUUUGCCCGAAAACCACGAGAGCUGACAGAGAUCGAAAGAUGGAAGGCUACAGAACUAAGGCAGUUCAUGAUGUACAGUGGACCUGUGGUCCUAAAGCACAAUCUACCAGAAGAGAUUUUUGAGAACUUCCUGUUGUUUUCCGUGGGUGUGUUCUUAUUACUCAGCCCCAACCUCUCUGCACCCAUGAUUGAUUUUGCCAAUCGAGUCCUAACAGCAUUUGUUAAAAGCUUUGGAGAUUUAUAUGGUCAAGGAGAAAUUGUAUUUACAGUUCAUCAGGUGAUACAUCUAGCUGAUGUGUACAAACAGUUUGGUGCCCUUGACCGUGUCUCUGCAUUUCCUUAUGAAAACUUCCUUGGAAAAGUAAAAAAAAUGUUGCGAAAGCCUCAACUACCAUUACAACAGGUAGUCAAGAGACUGUCAGAGGUGCCUCAAACUGUUACUCCACCUCCAAGUAAGCAGCCCCUUUUGUACGAAAUGCACAAGGAUGGUCCUUUGCCUCUGCAAUUCAGUACUGCCAAACAGUACAGAAAGGUAGUAACAACAGAUUUCUGCCUGUCAACAAAGACUGGGAACAACUGCAUAGCAGUAGGACAGGAUAUUGGACUGGUCCAAAACAUUGUGCUAUCCUCUGGUUCAGUCUUCAUCAUCUACAGACGAUUUGGGUACAAGGAAUCCCAUUUCACAUAUCCCUGCCCCUCCUCUCGAAUAGGCUGUUUUCAGGUCCAUACGUUGGUAGAUGAUCUUGAGGUUGAGCUCCUUGGGGAUGUCAGCAGAAAAUGUGUGCUUUUUCCAGACCAAAACCAUUAUGUUGCCAUCCCUCUUCUUCACCAAUCCUAAUUCCUUGUCUUCUGCAAUCCAAAAAAGAAAAAAAAAAAGAUUUUUUUGUUAUUGAAUUUUCUUUAUAUAAAAUACACCAGUCCUAAAAUCGAAUUAAUGAAUGAAAAAAAAAAAAAAAAAACGACAAAUAGCCAAAAAAUAUAUAUCUGAGUGGUGACAAACUGCUGUAAAUCAGCUGUGAAUGAUCUGAGUAGUUAGAGUGCUUCAGCUGAGUAGCAUUGUAUACUCUUCCUGCGAAGUGCUUUUUUUUUCUUUCUAUUUUUUUGGUUUUUGAGAAGGUAAUUCUGGGGAGGGGGCAUUUGCCUCGAGCCCGGCAAGCCUUUGAAGAUAGUUAGGUUGUAGAUAGUUAGGCUUAGAUAGUAGUUAGAGACGACAGGUUUCAGAGUACGUCUUCACCCAAGUUAAGCUGGUGUAUGCAGUUCUCUCACCACUUAUGAUAGUUAUUCAAUUUUCAAUUAAAUUUUAUUUGUAUAGCCCUUAAUCACCAUUACAGUCUCAAAGGGCUUAACAGGCCAAAUAUUUCUGAGACUGUGAUCAACUGUGAUCACUGUUGAUCUUGCAACAUACACACUAUGUUAUAUAUAACAACAAUGACUGAUAUAUAGGCCAAAUAUAUUUCUAAGGCUUAUUUUUCACACUCAAAACACAGCGAUUUUUUAUUUUCAGAUGGCACAGGUGUGGAAGGUCGUCGAAUUCAAAGAUAGGAGCACUACCAUAGUGCCAAGCAGCUGGUUGGAGGAGGCAGGGGAGUCAUGGAAUUGUUUCUGGCCUCCUAGUUCUUACGAUCAUAACCGCCUCCAGAAGGCAGUCGCGCACCACCUUCCUCCAGGUGCAGCGUGGGACGUGCACGGUGACGUGAGGGUCUUGGUUAGCUGUGCAACAUAUGUUAAGGCAAAGGACUACCUGAAAAAGUCCUUACUGUGUUUAACAUCAGACAUACAGUCAGAGGCUGAAGACCCUAUCAGAAGGAAAAAAAGGCCAAACUCACGCUACCUGCAGGAGCCAGCUGGAAGAGUCCAGACCACUACGGGCCCGCCGCAACACUUUUUUGAAGGUGUGGACACUGAUGACGAGGCACCACCCCCCCCCAAGGAAAACAGCACGACAAUCUGUAGAUGUAGGGCCAGACAUCAAUAGUGAGUGGCUAUUUGGGCCAUCGACCACCCAAAGAGCUCAAUCAAAUGGCAGCCAGAGACUUGAGCUACUACAUCUAGAUACAGUCCAACCAAGCCACCAGCUAUUGCAUGAUAUGGGAAUAUCUAAAGUUGUGGAGCUGCUUUCCAAAGUGCUGGAAGAAAAUAAAUUGAUGAAAGCGGAAAUUACCAACCUGGGGAGUGAAGUGAGGGCGCUUAGGAGAGAGAUGGUGAGGCCGGUAGCACCAGAAGCUGCCGCUUCGUCCAUCAAGCUGCCUCUGAGGACAAUGGAGGAGUUUCAAUUAGCAGAGGCUGUUAUGAGAGAAACCCCCUGCGAAAAACAAAAGAUGAUCUUAACAUUCAGUCUAAUUGGAGGGCACACUGCAGAAGAGGCCGUAAGAAGGAUGUUGCAGAGUGGCCUAACAAAUAACCUGGCGUGUCGCUUCAACUGGGCGGGGAAAGGCUUCAAGGAAGCCUUUAAAAGCACUGUCCUUAGUGAUGUACUGUUCGCUGCACUCCAAAAACAGCUGCCAGGGACCACCCAUAUUGUUUUUUCAGGGACACUGAAGAAGUGGCUUAAAUAUGCACCGGAGAGAGAGGGAGGUGGAGGGAGGCGAACAAAUGAACGCGAUCAGGCGCCGCAGGAUCCUCGACCAUGAAUGAAUGUGUGUGUGUAAAUAAUAAUUAUAUUCGUUAGAAUAAUAGGGUUAAUUGGGUUUGGGUUGUUCGUGUUCGGUUAUCACGUUGUAUUGUUCAUUAUUGUCGCCACCGUUGUUGUGUCAUGUUUGUUUGUUGGGUGCUCUAUGUGAGAGGAUUUUAAUAAAAGUAGUCUGCGUCGAGGGGUGUACGGGGCGCAGAACUACAGUUAAAUAAA
Molecule: RNA transcript, 4013 nt
Organism: Gadus morhua (Atlantic cod)
Lineage: Eukaryota; Metazoa; Chordata; Actinopteri; Gadiformes; Gadidae
Exons: 11
Source: RefSeq, a predicted model, not a curated record